AAUAUUUAUGUCCGGACAGUUUUGGUCAUGAUCAGUUUAUUUUUGAAAUCUGAAGAACUUUCUGAGCAGUCCCUGAAGGCAGCAGCAUUCAGUAGCAACGGUUUCUCUUGUUUCUUUUCCAGGGAUUAGUAGAAGAUUAAGAUUUAAGCGGAGAUAAACAACCCGCAGUCAGAAAAAUAUACAGGAAAAAGACAAACACAUAAGUAUGGCGGAUAUAAUCGGUUCUUGGGAGGAGAAGUCUUUAUAUUUGACUCAAAUUCAAUAUCUGGAGGAGCAGUUGGAGAGAUGUCAACUUAAAUAUGACGAGCUGGAGAAACAGAAUAAGGACCUGGCCCCUAAUUACAGCGCGCUGGAGAAGGACAAGAAAGACACCACUGAGUCCCUGAAACGCUCCGCGGCUGUAAAACAGAAGAGGAUUGAAGAGCUGGCUGAGCAGCUGAAGACUCAGCAGCAGACAGACCAACAGGACAGAGAGGAACUGCAGCUGCAGCACAGCCAGCAGAAGAAGGAGUUGCAGGACCGGAUCAACGGACUUCACUCAGUAAGCAGGACGAUGGUGAAAAAGUUUGAGGAGCAGCAGGAGCUGGAGGAGCAGCUGAAGCAGCUGAUGCAGGAACAGUCCAACAUAGAGUCUAUGAAGAAGCAGCUGUUGGAUCAGAGAGAAGAGCACACAGCUGCCAUCGACAGCCUGAUGAAUGAACUAGAGUUGGAGAGGGAAAAGGUGAUCGUGGAGGGGCAGCAGGCUGUGGAUCGAUGCGUUGAGAAGAAGGCCUCAAAGAUUCUCCGCAAUGAGAGAGCUCUUCACAGCGAGCGGCUGCAGCAGCUCCAGGUCCUGCUAAACGAAAACGUGGUCCUCCCAAAGGAGAAAGAGGUCUUGCAAGACAAAGAGAGGGUUCUUUGCUUUGAGAAAGAGCAAAUGAAGAAAGCGCUCACAAAAAUUACCCAGGAGAGUAUCACCUACAAAGAUGAGAUAAAGCAGCUGAAGGAGAAGUGCCAGAAGCUGAGGGUGGACCUAAAGGACCGUGAUGCCGCCUGCAAGAGCAUGCUGACCAAGAAAGAGGAUCUCUGUAAGCGCCUGGACUCAGUGGACAAGGACAGACGACAAAAAACGGCCGAGGCAGAUCAGCUGAAGGUGGAGCUCCAGAGGGAGAAGAGCAGGAGGAGGCAGAUAAAGAACGUCAUUCAGGAAGCAGGCAUCACUCUCAGCCACAUCUUGACGGAGUUAGACAAGCCGUCCGAGACUGAGUGGAAGAUCCUGAGGCUGCUGGAGAUCCUGGAGAGCACCGCCCCCCCCAGUGACCAGGCUCCGCCCUCGACAACUCACCUGAGAAGAGCAGUUGAGAACCGAAAACGCAGAUCACUGACCCCAAACCAGCCAGGAAACUCUGCAGUCAGAAGACCCCCAGCUCUGUCGUGUGCUCCUCAGCAGGCUGAUCCAGAAGCCGGAGCCUCUGCAGAUUGCUGAACUGAAUCCAGCCCACAGUAGGGAAGAUCAAUGUUGUUCAUCCCACCGCCCCAUUUCAGAAUAAAGUGAGCCUCACAGCGAGGAGAGGCGGAGUUCUGGGCAGACAGAGGAUAACAGGCGCUGCAGGAGAGGACUGAAAACACAGAAGGA
Molecule: RNA transcript, 1615 nt
Organism: Perca flavescens (yellow perch)
Lineage: Eukaryota; Metazoa; Chordata; Actinopteri; Perciformes; Percidae
Gene: cfap157
Gene name: cilia and flagella associated protein 157
Exons: 9
Source: RefSeq, a predicted model, not a curated record